AACCUGGUUGAUCCUGCCAGUAGUGUAUGCUUCUCCUAAAGACUAAGCCAUGCAUGCCUUCGAAUACGAGGAAGCAAUUCUCUCUGAAUCUGCGAACGGCUCCGCAAACCAGUUGUAAACCAUAGCAAGCAGUCCCGGGGGGUCUCCUUCACUGGGGGCCCCCCAGGCGAAUACGAAUAACCAUGGUAAUUCUGAGGCUAAUACGCGUGAGUACUACCCCGGCCGACCGCAAGGGAGGUGGGGGGAUGUGCGAGCGUUGUACACGAGUAGGUAAGGGAGUAGGCGCAUUUCUGGACCGCUACAAAAAACGGAUGGGGGGACCGUCACGGGCUUAACUGACCGUGGCACCCCCUGCCCGAGCGGCUCUGGCUAGGUGCUUCUGACCUAUCAACUAGAAGGCAGCGUAAGGGACAUGCUAUGGUGACAACGGGUACAGAGGAUUAGGGUUCGAUCCUGGAGAGUGGGCCUGAGAGAUUGCUCAUACUUCUAAGGAAGGCAGCAGGCGCGCAACGUUCCCCUUGGGCAAAGCUCGAGGGCGUUAGGGGACAUAUGAAUGCCUGCCUAUAGGUGGGCACUAGCUGUACUUGAGNNNNNNNNNNNNNNUCGAGUAACAAUUAGAGGACA
RNAcentral lists this ribosomal RNA (624 nucleotides) under Didymium crustaceum. RNAcentral's name for it is "partial 18S ribosomal RNA". It matches the Rfam family "Eukaryotic small subunit ribosomal RNA", at positions 1 to 557 of the family's 1831-position model. Lineage: Eukaryota; Evosea; Eumycetozoa; Physariida; Didymiaceae. The record is from RNAcentral.